Gallus gallus (chicken) is the source of this 941-nucleotide long non-coding RNA. The record is from Ensembl. NCBI's taxonomy places the organism in Eukaryota, Metazoa, Chordata, Aves, Galliformes, Phasianidae.
ACAGAGCUCAAGACCCCAGAUACCAUAACUCACGGACUGGAAGACUCAGCAGAAUAACCAGAGAUCAGAAAGGGAUUAUGACCAAGCUCUUCACACAGGACUCUGUUUAUCUAAGCAAGAAGAGCAGCACUUCUUUAACCAUUUCCACAGUGGCAGAAGUGCUCCGUGUGGGACACACACAUCUGGAUGCGCUACAUCUGAGAGCAGCACUUCUCCAAUACACAGCAGCCUCCAAUAGCAAGCGCGUGCCCAGAGCGUUUUUACACCCACUUCACAACCAGCUUUUUUUGUGAUUAGCAUCAGGAAUUGCAUCCCUUCUCCCACACUGCUGACGAAAGAGCCCAGUGACCUGCAGACCUCUGGCAGGCAGAAUUUAGGAAAGUCACAGCACUGAGCUAAAUCCAUCCUGAAGUUCAAACCAUCCCCUGGGGCUGAAGCUUGGCUACAAGAACCGGGCUGCCCAAAGGGACCAGAGAAAAACUGAGCUCCUACUCACACUGCUGAGAGAUCAGGGGCAGUCACAGGGCACUCAGCCUAGCGUGGGCUGGAGAGCAGAACACGGCUCUGACACGAGCACCGGGCAGAUUAUCACAGGACAUUGCACUCAGGGAAAGUGCUCAUGUGAUUGGGAUUUAACAGACGAUUAAAUAAUGCCGGCAUUUCUGACAGCUCAUGAAGAAACUGUGAUUAAAGGACUCCAGAAAAACUCAUUUUCCUUCCUGGCUCCAAUGCCAACCUCAGGAAUUUCCCUUCCAUUAAUACAGAUGUUCAACCAAAGCCAACCAGAGCAACUGCCCCCCACUCCAAUGGGAAUGGGACAGUCCUGCCACCAGGGAGCCAGCCCUGAGGAAGCUCGGCAUGGGAAGCUGCCCCGUGCCUUGGACUUCAUCCAAAGGGCUCCAGCCACAUGGUUCACACCUCCAGAUUUCAGUGCACCUGAG